UACGGGGGAUGCGAGCGUCGUCCGGAAUGAUUGGGCGUAAAGGGCGCGUAGGCGGCCCGGUAAGUCUGGAGUGAAAGUCCUGCCUUCAAGGUGGGAAUUGCUUUGGAUACUGUCGGGCUUGAGUGCAGGAGAGGUAAGUGGAAUUCCUAGUGUAGCGGUGAAAUGCGUAGAGAUUGGGAGGAACACCAGUGGCGAAGGCGACUUACUGGACUGUAACUGACGCUGAGGCGCGAAAGUGUGGGGAGCAAAC
RNAcentral lists this ribosomal RNA (250 nucleotides) under uncultured prokaryote. Its description in RNAcentral is "partial 16S ribosomal RNA". It matches the Rfam family "Bacterial small subunit ribosomal RNA", at positions 524 to 773 of the family's 1533-position model. The record is from RNAcentral.